Molecule: ribosomal RNA, 652 nt
Filed under: uncultured bacterium
Lineage: Bacteria
Description: bacterial SSU rRNA
Rfam family: Bacterial small subunit ribosomal RNA (bases 1-533)
Source: RNAcentral
CCUACGGGAGGCAGCAGUGGGGAAUCUUGCACAAUGGAGGAAACUCUGAUGCAGCGAUGCCGCGUGAGUGAAGAAGGCCUUUGGGUUGUAAAGCUCUUUUGUAGGGGAAGAUAAUGACUGUACCCUAAGAAUAAGGUCCGGCUAACUUCGUGCCAGCAGCCGCGGUAAUACGAAGGGACCUAGCGUAGUUCGGAAUUACUGGGCGUAAAGCGCGCGUAGGCCGUUGAGUUAGUUAAUUGUGAAAUCCCAAAGCUUAACUUUGGAACUGCAAUUAAAACUGCUCGACUAGAGUUUGAUAGAGGAAAGCGGAAUACAUAGUGUAGAGGUGAAAUUCGUAGAUAUUAUGUAGAACACCAGUUGCGAAGGCGGCUUUCUGGAUCAACACUGACGCUGAGGCGCGAAAGUAUGGGUAGCAAAGAGGAUUAGAUACCCUCGUAGUCCAUACCAUAAACGAUGAUUGUCUAGAUAGUUAGGUAAAGUUUAAUUUUACUUAGUAUACGUCAGACUAACGUACAUUAAGUACAACUACCGCCGUCGGGGUAGGGUACGGACCGGACCGAAACGGUUAAAACCGUUAAACCGUAAACUAAGAAGUUAAGGUACGGUCGUUGAGUACGUUAGCCGAACGGACGACGACGAGGGGAGGGUUAGG